UGUAGCAUAAGUAAUUUCACGGAAAGUGUUAAUUUCAUAUUGCUAUCUUCCUUGAUACUUCAAAUAAUAAAUGGAAAGCAAAUAUCAAAUAGUUCUAGUAUGAGAGUUACUUCAUUUAAUUGAUCGAUGUAAGAUUAUCAAAGUGAUUUGGCCCAAUUAUUUGCAGAGCUAGCUUACGCAGGGAUAGUCACCAUGAGAUGUGAUGUAUAGAGCUUCGGAGUUGUAGCGGUGGAGGUGUUGAUGGGAAGGCAUCCGGGAGAACUAAUCACCUCUCUACCUUCAAGAAGUCAUGGAAACAUAUUAAUACACGAUUUAUUGGAUCAUCGUCUCUCACCCCCUACAAACGAGCAAAUGAAUGAUAGCACCUCAGCAAUGAAACUGGCAGUUGAAUGCAUAAAUCCUGAUCCACAAUAUCGACCAAGCAUGCAACAGAUAUCUCAGGAGCUUUCUGCAGGAGUAUAAGCUUCUCAUAAUACAUUCCAUACAAUUGAAUCCUCUAUAGCUAGCAAACUGAAUUAGUAUACCUUUGGUGGGAUCAAUUAUUCCUUCCUUUCAGGCUUUCCUCCUUGUUCUCUGCUAGUAUAGAAUCCGGCAACCCACGUGCUUAUCCCACUUCGCCUCCCUGAAAUCCUCAACCUAAUAAGAACUUCUCGUUAUGUCUGAGAUGGGAAGCUGCCAAAAUCUAGAGUCUCGAAAUUCUUCCGUAUAUUCAAGCGUUGAUGGAGCAGAGAAUGGUAACCUAGCCACUGCUGUUGCGGACUUCGUUCCAAGCGUGCACUCCACGAGUCGCGAGACCAUUGAACUCCGAAGCCAAGUCUCGCUCUCGCGCAUUUCAUCGAACAGAUGAAGAGCUUGACUACACUACUACUUCUCGCAUAGCCCGCCGCCUUCAAAUCUUCAGAUGAGGACGGCGGUGAGGGCUGAGGAGUUCGCCGGAGAGCCGGCACGGCCACCAGAAGAUCGGGAAAGGACGCAGACCCGCUGCUCAAUUUGCUCGCCCCACAUAACGAGUUCCUCCGUUACCUCCAAAUGCGGAUGUCUUUAUUAUCUUUCCACGUGAACUCUUCCGCAUGGAGGUUUUAUGCGGGAAUCUCUGUUCCCUUACACAAUGUUUCUUGUGCGUAAAUCCGCAUAUGGUUUCUAUGCCGAUUAUCCGACUCCUGAUGCAAGUGUUAUGCGCGCGUCCUCACAAGGGGUUUAUGGUGAUGCUCUGGCUAUUAGCUACUGUUUUGACACAAGUGUCUCACGUUCACACGUUCACAUGUCCGCAUAUAUUUUUCUAUGGAUGCGGUUGACCAACAUCUACAAAAAGUAAGCUAGCCUGAUUGCAAGGACUUCCCUAGCGAUUUUGCAUAUACCACUCAGCAAGCAUAUUGGGACGAUUGCUUUUUACUUUCUAUUUGGUAC
RNAcentral lists this long non-coding RNA (1407 nucleotides) under Elaeis guineensis (African oil palm). RNAcentral's name for it is "long non-coding RNA (EGUI_LNC011405)". The record is from RNAcentral. Lineage: Eukaryota; Viridiplantae; Streptophyta; Magnoliopsida; Arecales; Arecaceae.